This 497-nucleotide ribosomal RNA is filed under the name uncultured bacterium. RNAcentral describes it as "partial 16S ribosomal RNA". It matches the Rfam family "Bacterial small subunit ribosomal RNA", at positions 28 to 507 of the family's 1533-position model. The record is from RNAcentral.
GAUGAACGCUGGCGGCGUGCCUAAUACAUGCAAGUCGAGCGAACAGACGAGGAGCUUGCUCCUCUGACGUUAGCGGCGGACGGGUGAGUAACACGUGGAUAACCUACCUAUAAGACUGGGAUAACUUCGGGAAACCGGAGCUAAUACCGGAUAAUAUAUUGAACCGCAUGGUUCAAUAGUGAAAGACGGUUUUGCUGUCACUUAUAGAUGGAUCCGCGCCUCAUUAGCUAGUUGGUAAGGUAACGGCUUACCAAGGCGACGAUGCGUAGCCGACCUGAGAGGGUCUCCACCCACACUGGAACGGAGACACGGUCCAGACCCCUACGGGACGCAGCAGUAGGGAAUCUUCCGCAAUGGGCGAACGCCUGACGGAGCAACGCCGCGUGAGUGAUGAAGGUCUUCGGAUCGUAAAACUCUGUUAUUAGGGAAGAACAAAUGUGUAAGUAACUAUGCACGUCUUGACGGUACCUAAUCAGAAAGCCACGGCUAACUACGUG